RNAcentral lists this ribosomal RNA (460 nucleotides) under uncultured bacterium. Its description in RNAcentral is "partial 16S ribosomal RNA". It matches the Rfam family "Bacterial small subunit ribosomal RNA", at positions 338 to 795 of the family's 1533-position model. The record is from RNAcentral.
CCUACGGGUGGCAGCAGUGAGGAAUAUUGGUCAAUGGACGAGAGUCUGAACCAGCCAAGUAGCGUGAAGGAUGACUGCCCUAUGGGUUGUAAACUUCUUUUAUAUGGGAAUAAAAUGUUCCACGUGUGGGAUUUUGUAUGUACCAUAUGAAUAAGGAUCGGCUAACUCCGUGCCAGCAGCCGCGGUAAUACGGAGGAUCCGAGCGUUAUCCGGAUUUAUUGGGUUUAAAGGGAGCGUAGGUGGAUUGUUAAGUCAGUUGUGAAAGUUUGCGGCUCAACCGUAAAAUUGCAGUUGAAACUGGCAGUCUUGAGUACAGUAGAGGUGGGCGGAAUUCGUGGUGUAGCGGUGAAAUGCUUAGAUAUCACGAAGAACUCCGAUUGCGAAGGCAGUUCACUGGACUGCAAUUGACACUGAGGCUCGAAAGUGUGGGUAUCAAACAGGAUUAGAUACCCGAGUAGUC